RNAcentral lists this ribosomal RNA (493 nucleotides) under uncultured bacterium. Its description in RNAcentral is "bacterial SSU rRNA". It matches the Rfam family "Bacterial small subunit ribosomal RNA", at positions 1 to 507 of the family's 1533-position model. The record is from RNAcentral.
CGAUACGAGUUUGAUCAUGGCUCAGGAUGAACGCUAGCGGCAGGCUUAAUACAUGCAAGUCAAGGGGGUAGCAAUACAACCGGCGCACGGGUGAGUAACGCGUACACAACAUGCCAUAUACUGGGGUAUAGCUUUGGGAAACUGAAGGUAAUCCCCCAUAGUAUUGUGGGUAGGCAUCUAUCUGCAAUUAAAGUUUCGACGGUAUAUGAUUGGUGUGCGUUCCAUUAGCUAGUUGGUAGGGUAACGGCCUACCAAGGCGACGAUGGGUAGCUGGCGUGAGAGCGCGACCAGCCACACUGGAACUGAGACACGGUCCAGACUCCUACGGGAGGCAGCAGUAGGGAAUAUUGGACAAUGGGCGAAAGCCUGAUCCAGCCAUGCCGCGUGAUAGAUGAAGGCCCUCUGGGUUGUAAAUAUCUUUUAUCUGGGAAGAAACUCCUCUAUUCUUAGAGGCCUGACGGUACCAGAGGAAUAAGCACCGGCUAACUCCGUG